CGAACGAGAAAGCAGGAGCAAUCCUGUGAGUAAAGUGGCGUACGGGUGAGUAACACGUGGAUUAUCUACCUUCUAGUGGGGGAUAACCCUGGGAAACCGGGGCUAAUACCGCAUAAGUUCGAGAGAAGAAAGCAGCAAUGCGCUGGAAGAGGAGUCCGCGGCCGAUUAGCUAGUUGGUAGGGUAAAAGCCUACCAAGGCUACGAUCGGUAGCCGGCCUGAGAGGGCACACGGCCACACUGGCACUGAAACACGGGCCAGACUCCUACGGGAGGCAGCAGUGGGGAAUCUUGCACAAUGGGGGAAACCCUGAUGCAGCGACGCCGCGUGAGCGAUGAAGCCCUUCGGGGUGUAAAGCUCUUUCGGCAGGGACGAUUAUGACGGUACCUGCAGAAGCAGCUGCGGCUAACUACGUGCCAGCAGCCGCGGUAAUACGUAGGCAGCAAGCGUUGUUCGGAGUUACUGGGCGUAAAGGGUGUGUAGGCGGUCCUCUAAGUUUGGUGUGAAAUCUCCCGGCUCAACUGGGAGGGUGCGCCGAAAACUGGGGGGCUAGAGUGCGGGAUGGGAGAGUGGAAUUCCUGGUGUAGCGGUGAAAUGCGUAGAUAUCAGGAGGAACACCUGUGGUGUAGACGGCUCUCUGGACCGCAACUGACGCUGAGACACGAAAGCGUGGGUAGCAA
RNAcentral lists this ribosomal RNA (678 nucleotides) under uncultured bacterium. RNAcentral's name for it is "bacterial SSU rRNA". It matches the Rfam family "Bacterial small subunit ribosomal RNA", at positions 63 to 771 of the family's 1533-position model. The record is from RNAcentral.